This 234-nucleotide ribosomal RNA is filed under the name uncultured bacterium. Its description in RNAcentral is "partial 16S ribosomal RNA". It matches the Rfam family "Bacterial small subunit ribosomal RNA", at positions 118 to 351 of the family's 1533-position model. The record is from RNAcentral.
UGAGUAACCUGCCCUUAACUCUGGGAUAAGCCUGGGAAACUGGGUCUAAUACCGGAUAUGACUCCUCAUCGCAUGGUGGGGGGUGGAAAGCUUUAUUGUGGUUUUGGAUGGACUCGCGGCCUAUCAGCUUGUUGGUGAGGUAAUGGCUCACCAAGGCGACGACGGGUAGCCGGCCUAAGAGGGUGACCGGCCACACUGGGACUGAGACACGGCCCAGACUCCUACGGGAGGCAG